CCAAAUCCCAUGAAGAGUUUGUGCUGGGUUCAGACCCUGUUCAGUACCCCAUUCUCAGCUCCAUGGGGGGAAGCUUGCAGCUCUCUAUUGAUGAGAGUCUUGGCUCUCUGCUGUUUCUUGGGUAUCUUUUUGUGACAAGGAUGGCUGGUGCUGGCACGCACUGUAAACGAGGAGGGGAUGGGCCUAAGUUUCCAUCACGCUGCAAAGCAGAACCAUCUGUUGGUGGCUUCUCUGUUAGCCCGUGGCUGUGAAGAGAGCAUUUAACAAUGAAGAGCUGGGGCCAGAGACACGAGUCCUUGGCUCCAGUUCCUGUUUGUCUCCAGGCUGCCGCAUUCCACAGAAGGCAGUAAACUGACAUUCUGAGAAUGUUUGUCUCUGCCAGCCAGGGCUUGGCUAAUCCUGGUGACCUGCAGCAGAUUCCCCACCAAGAAGACAUCCAGUGGAAAGACAGGGUUGGCUCUUCUAUUGUACCUCACUGGAUUUGAAAAGAUGCCUG
This 496-nucleotide long non-coding RNA is filed under the name Homo sapiens (human). RNAcentral's name for it is "non-protein coding lnc-ASB7-2:1". The record is from RNAcentral. Lineage: Eukaryota; Metazoa; Chordata; Mammalia; Primates; Hominidae.